GGGGGGGGGGGGGGGGGGGGGGGGGGGGGGGGCUGGAAGGUGCUGGAAGGGGCUGUGCCUCUCCUGGGUGCUGCAGCCCUGGGAUGGGGCUGUCCCUAAGGGAUCACAGGCACUGCAGUCCCUUUGCUUUGUGAAUUCCCCGAGCACACACCCCAGGUCCUUCUCCACCCCACUGUGUCCCACAGCCCCACUGCUCAUUGUUCCAUGGCAACCAGGAGCUGAACAGGCAAAAACUUCACAUUGAACGAGCACACACCCCUGGUCCUUCUCCACCCCACUGUGUCCCACAGCCCCACUGCUCAUUGUUCCAUGGCAACCAGGAGCUGAACAGGCAAAAACUUCACAUUGAACCUGUGUUUUGUCACAAAUGUAUGAAUGGGAUCUUGUGACUGUAACAUGUUUAGGUCCUGUUAGGCUUCAGUGCAGCAUGGUUACUACUUGAUUUCUGAGGGCAGUGGCAGGAGUGAAUAAGAAUGCUGUGGCCAGUAACGUUAUUGAUGUCAUUGGCAGGUGAUACAAUAAUCCAUGAUGUCAUUGGCAGGUGAUACAAUCAUCCAUGUGACAUACAGAGUUACAGCAAACAGUGUAAGGGUUCAGUAGGGUUGUCCCUGGGCUGAAAUGUGGAGGCCAAAUACAAAGGCUGGGAAAAUGUUCCUUCUGUGUAGGUGUGACACCCACAGACUGAAGUGUGCUGUGCUGCCGCAGACUCAGUUUGAAAUCAAAGCAGAGGCCGCUCCUGCCACGUGCACAUCAGAGCUCCACGGAGACAGGGAGACGAGGGAGCAAAGCUGAUAUGACAAUAAAGAGUAACAUCACAUCUAACAAGCCAGUGGGAAUGGGAAGCAAGGGGAGGUAGACACUUUAAAGUGUUCUCUGCAGGUGUGAGUUAGGCAUGCUGCAUGUUUUGGCUCCUGGGGGUUGGUACUACAAACAUUUUGAAUUAUAGCCACUUUAAAGGCCGCAGGAACCU
Molecule: long non-coding RNA, 970 nt
Filed under: Ficedula albicollis (Collared flycatcher)
Lineage: Eukaryota; Metazoa; Chordata; Aves; Passeriformes; Muscicapidae
Description: lncRNA (ENSFALG00000025669.1)
Source: RNAcentral